RNAcentral lists this ribosomal RNA (497 nucleotides) under uncultured Legionella sp. RNAcentral describes it as "bacterial SSU rRNA". It matches the Rfam family "Bacterial small subunit ribosomal RNA", at positions 8 to 494 of the family's 1533-position model. The record is from RNAcentral. Lineage: Bacteria; Pseudomonadati; Pseudomonadota; Gammaproteobacteria; Legionellales; Legionellaceae.
AGAGUUUGAUCAUGGCUCAGAUUGAACGCUGGCGGCAUGCCUAACACAUGCAAGUCGAACGGCAGCGGGUACUGGCUUGCCAGUAUGCCGGCGAGUGGCGAACGGGUGAGUAACGCGUAGGAAUAUACCUUAAAGAGGGGGAUAACUUGGGGAAACUCAAGCUAAUACCGCAUGAGCUCUGGUGAGGAAAGCUGGGGACCGAAAGGCCUGGCGCUUUAAGAAUAGCCUGCGUCCGAUUAGCUAGUUGGUGGGGUAAAGGCCUACCAAGGCGACGAUCGGUAGCUGGUCUGAGAGGAUGGACAGCCACACUGGGACUGAGACACGGCCCAGACUCCUACGGGAGGCAGCAGUGGGGAAUAUUGGACAAUGGGGGCAACCCUGAUCCAGCAAUGCCGCGUGUGUGAAGAAGGCCUGAGGGUUGUAAAGCACUUUAGUUGGGGAGGAGAGCAUGCAGGUUAAGAGCUGGUAUGUGAGACGUUACCCAAAGAAUAAGCACC